AGCUGUACUUGCUUUGGCAGCACAAUACUAAAAUUGGAAAGAUACAGAGAAGAUUACCAGGCCCCUGUGCAAGGAUGACACACAAAUUCAUGAAGUAUUUUAUAUUAAA
Gorilla gorilla gorilla (western lowland gorilla) is the source of this 109-nucleotide non-coding RNA. The record is from Rfam. NCBI's taxonomy places the organism in Eukaryota, Metazoa, Chordata, Mammalia, Primates, Hominidae.